AUUGAACGCUGGCGGCAGGCUUAACACAUGCAAGUCGAGCGAGCGGCGGACGGGUGAGUAAUGUCUGGGAAACUGCCUGAUGGAGGGGGAUAACUACUGGAAACGGUAGCUAAUACCGCAUACCAUCAGAUGUGCCCAGAUGGGAUUAGCUGGUAGGUGGGGUGACGGCUCACCUAGGCGACGAUCCCUAGCUGGUCUGAGCGGAUGACCAGCCGCACUGGAACUGAGACACGGUCCAGACUCCUACGUGAGGCAGCAUUGGGGAAUAUUGCACAAUAGGCGCAAGGCUGAUGCAGCCAUGCCGCGUGUGUGAAGCAGGCCUUCGGGUUGUAAAGCCCUUUCAGCGGGGAGGCGUUACCCGCAGAAGAAGCACCGGCUAACUCCGUGCCAGCAGCCGCGGUAAUUC
This 406-nucleotide ribosomal RNA is filed under the name uncultured bacterium. RNAcentral's name for it is "partial 16S ribosomal RNA". It matches the Rfam family "Bacterial small subunit ribosomal RNA", at positions 30 to 526 of the family's 1533-position model. The record is from RNAcentral.